RNAcentral lists this ribosomal RNA (425 nucleotides) under uncultured bacterium. Its description in RNAcentral is "bacterial SSU rRNA". It matches the Rfam family "Bacterial small subunit ribosomal RNA", at positions 355 to 772 of the family's 1533-position model. The record is from RNAcentral.
UGGGGAAUAUUGGGCAAUGGGCGCAAGCCUGACCCAGCCACGCCGCGUGAGCGAUGAAGGCCUUCGGGUUGUAAAGCUCUGUGGGGAGGGGCGAAAGGCAGGAGUGCUAAUAGUACCCUGUUUGGCGGUACCUCCUUAGCAAGCACCGGCUAACUCUGUGCCGGCAGCCGCGGUAAGACAGAGGGUGCAAACGUUGCUCGGAAUUACUGGGCGUAAAGCGCGUGUAGGCGGGAAGAUAAGUCGGGUGUGAAAUCCCUGGGCUCAACCUAGGAACUGCAUCCGAAACUGCCUUUCUGGAGUGAUGGAGAGGAAAGCGGAAUUCCCGGUGUAGAGGUGAAAUUCGUAGAUAUCGGGAGGAACACCAGUGGCGAAGGCGGCUUUCUGGCCAUCAACUGACGCUGAGACGCGAAAGCGUGAGGAGCAAA